Molecule: ribosomal RNA, 452 nt
Filed under: uncultured bacterium
Lineage: Bacteria
Description: bacterial SSU rRNA
Rfam family: Bacterial small subunit ribosomal RNA
Source: RNAcentral
UACGGAAGGCAGCAGUGGGGAAUAUUGCACAAUGGGCGCAAGCCUGAUGCAGCCAUGCCGCGUGUAUGAAGAAGGCCUUCGGGUUGUAAAGUACUUUCAGUCGUGAGGAAGGUGUUAAGGUUAAUAACCUUAGCAAUUGACGUUAGCGACAGAAGAAGCACCGGCUAACUCCGUGCCAGCAGCCGCGGUAAUACGGAGGGUGCGAGCGUUAAUCGGAAUUACUGGGCGUAAAGGGCACGCAGGCGGUUAAUAAGUUGGAUGUGAAAUCCCCGGGCUUAACCUGGGAAUGGCAUUCAAGACUGGUUAGCUAGAGUCUUGUAGAGGGGGUAGAAUUCCAUGUGUAGCGGUGAAAUGCGUAGAGAUGUGGAGGAAUACCGGUGGCGAAGGCGGCCCCUGGGACAAGACUGACGCUCAUGUGCGAAAGCGUGGGGAGCAAACGAGGAUUAGAUACC